GGAAGCAGGGAGGGUGCGUGAUCGGACUCGUACCCUGAGCAGUUUCCUCUGCCUGCAGGGUGAGCAGUGGGCCUGGAGGAGGGGUGGUGGUUCAAGGGGCGUAUGGGGAGGGGCGUGGGGGGUCC
Molecule: long non-coding RNA, 125 nt
Organism: Leopardus geoffroyi (Geoffroy's cat)
Lineage: Eukaryota; Metazoa; Chordata; Mammalia; Carnivora; Felidae
Exons: 3
Source: RefSeq, a predicted model, not a curated record